UCCCAUAUAGUGUAGUGGUUUAGCAUACCAGAUUUUCACGUCUUUGCACAGCGUUGAAUAUCUUUCUGGGGACCCGGGUUCGAACCCCGGUAUGGGAA
Non-coding RNA from Lasiosphaeria ovina, 98 nucleotides. The record is from the annotation of a GenBank genome assembly. Lineage: Eukaryota; Fungi; Ascomycota; Sordariomycetes; Sordariales; Lasiosphaeriaceae.